This 499-nucleotide ribosomal RNA is filed under the name uncultured bacterium. RNAcentral's name for it is "partial 16S ribosomal RNA". It matches the Rfam family "Bacterial small subunit ribosomal RNA", at positions 28 to 508 of the family's 1533-position model. RNAcentral also lists the same sequence under 1 other name. The record is from RNAcentral.
GACGAACGCUGGCGGCGUGCCUAAUACAUGCAAGUCGAACGAGAGCGACCGGUGCUUGCACUGGUCAAUCUAGUGGCGAACGGGUGAGUAACACGUGGGUAACCUGCCCAUCAGAGGGGGAUAACAUUCGGAAACGGAUGCUAAAACCGCAUAGGUCUUCGAACCGCAUGGUUUGAAGAGGAAAAGAGGCGCAAGCUUCUGCUGAUGGAUGGACCCGCGGUGCAUUAGCUAGUUGGUGAGGUAACGGCUCACCAAGGCCGUGAUGCAUAGCCGACCUGAGAGGGUGAUCGGCCACAUUGGGACUGAGACACGGCCCAAACUCCUACGGGAGGCAGCAGUAGGGAAUCUUCCGCAAUGGACGCAAGUCUGACGGAGCAACGCCGCGUGAGUGAAGAAGGUUUUCGGAUCGUAAAACUCUGUUGUUAGAGAAGAACAAGUGCUAGAGUAACUGUUAGCGCCUUGACGGUAUCUAACCAGAAAGCCACGGCUAACUACGUGC